This 138-nucleotide small RNA is filed under the name Aureimonas sp. Leaf460. RNAcentral's name for it is "Alphaproteobacterial sRNA ar45". It matches the Rfam family "Alphaproteobacterial sRNA ar45". Lineage: Bacteria; Pseudomonadati; Pseudomonadota; Alphaproteobacteria; Hyphomicrobiales; Aurantimonadaceae. The record is from Rfam by way of RNAcentral.
GCCCAAAGUCGCACGAGCCUGUGGGCGUCCCCCGAUCCUCAAAUGCGAGGCCAUCGGGACGGUCCUGGAGAUAGCCUCCAGUCGGUUUCGCGUCAGCGAAGUCGAGGACGCCUUAAAGCAACGACGGUGCGGGCCUUU